UACGUAGGUUGCGAGCGUUGUCCGGAAUUAUUGGGCGUAAAGGGCUCGUAGGCGGUCUGUCACGUCGAUCGUGAAAACUUGGGGCUUAACCCUGAGCUUGCGGUCGAUACGGGCAUGACUGGAGUUCGGCAGGGGAGACUGGAAUUCCUGGUGUAGCGGUGAAAUGCGCAGAUAUCAGGAGGAACACCGGUGGCGAAGGCGGGUCCCUGGGCCGAUACUGACGCUGAGGAGCGAAAGCGUGGGGAGCGAACAGG
RNAcentral lists this ribosomal RNA (254 nucleotides) under uncultured bacterium. RNAcentral's name for it is "partial 16S ribosomal RNA". It matches the Rfam family "Bacterial small subunit ribosomal RNA", at positions 524 to 776 of the family's 1533-position model. The record is from RNAcentral.